Molecule: ribosomal RNA, 253 nt
Filed under: uncultured bacterium
Lineage: Bacteria
Description: partial 16S ribosomal RNA
Rfam family: Bacterial small subunit ribosomal RNA
Source: RNAcentral
UACGUAGGGUGCAAGCGUUAAUCGGAAUUACUGGGCGUAAAGCGUGCGCAGGCGGUUUUGUAAGACAGAGGUGAAAUCCCCGGGCCCAACCUGGGAACUGCCUUUGUGACUGCAAGGCUUGAGUGCGGCAGAGGGGGAUGGAAUUCCGCGUGUAGCAGUGAAAUGCGUAGAUAUGCGGAGGAACACCGAUGACGAAGGCAAUCCCCUGGGCCUGCACUGACGCUCAUGCACGAAAGCGUGGGGAGCAAACAGG